RNAcentral lists this long non-coding RNA (3247 nucleotides) under Podarcis lilfordi (Lilford's wall lizard). The record is from RNAcentral. Lineage: Eukaryota; Metazoa; Chordata; Lepidosauria; Squamata; Lacertidae.
GUACCACUGUAUCUUUAUUUUUAUGUGAAAAUUGUUCAGUUUGGUUAUGUAGAUUUGAUGUGUUUUAUUUACUUUUAUGACUGCUGUGUUUGUAAAUCUUUUCCUAUUGUAAGCCGCCUUGAGCAUUGUUUUAACUGUGGAAAGGCGGAAUACAAAUAAAAUGAUGAUGAUGAUGAUGAUGAUGAUGAUGAAGUCUCUCCAUCCCUCAAUCCCUGUCCUCCACUGCUGGAUGCAGUAAAUGCCUCUGGAUUCCAGUAGCUGAGAAUCCCAAGUGGGGAGAGGAGGCACUGCUGCUGCUGUUUGCAUCUGUUUGCAUCUGGCUGGUCUCUGAGAACAGGAUGCUGGAGUUAACUGGCCUGGUCCAGCAAUCUCUUCUUCCUCUUGCAGCCCCUUCCUGUCUCUUGUCCUCCAGGGUCCCUGCAGCUGGCUGAACCCACUCCUGGAAAGGUGCAAAUAUUUUCUCAACAGCUACUAACCCAGAAGCAAAAAUAAUUGUAGGGGGUGCUGAAGGGGGUGGGGAGGCCAUAGCAGCAGCAAAGGCCGGCAGUGCACUGUGGGGACUGGAGUCUGGUCCAGCUGUUCUUCCCCCUUUUCCUUCCCCCCCAGCAGGACAGCCCCCCUCACUCCUUUCCCAGACUCCCCUUCUCCCCCCUUCUUCCCAAUCCAUCUUUCCUGAUCUCUCCCAGCUGCUGCUGGAGGAAGGAGAAGGUGACAGGAGCCGCCUGGACUGGAUGAGCGGAGCUGAGUCAGCAGAAGCACAGGUCCUGCAGGGCCCCUGGGAAAGGAAGAGGAGGGGGCUUCCCCGCUGCUUGUGCUCUGCAGGGUCCCAGAGAGAGAAUCACAGAACCACAGAGUUGGGACCCCCAGGGGUCAUCUAGUCCAACCCUCUGCAAUGCAGCAAUCUCAGCUAAAGCAUCCAUGACAGAUGGCCAUCCAACCUCUGCUUAAAAACCUCCAAGGAAGGAGAGAUCACCACUUCCCAUGGGAGUCCGUUCCACUGUCGAACGGCUCUUGCCGUCAGAAUGCUCUUCCUGAUCUUUAGUCAGAAUCUCCCUUCUUGUAACUUGAAGCCAUGGGUUCGAGUCCUACCCUCCAGAGCAGGAGAAAAGAAGCUUCUUCCCUCUUCCACAUGACAGCCCUUGAGAUAUUUUAAGAUGGCUCUCAUAUCUCCGCUCAGUCACCCCUUUCCCAGGCUGAACAUCCCCAGCUCCUUCAACCAUUCUUAAUAAGGUUUGGUUUCCAGACCCUUGAUCAUCUUGGUCUCCCUCCUCUGCACGCCUUCCAGCUUGUCCAUAUCCUCCUUAAACUGGGAUGCCCAGAACCAGACACGGGGCUGCAGGUGGGCAGAACAGAGUGGGACUGUGACUUCCCUUGAUCUGCACACCAGAUUUGGUCACAUCUUGGUCACAUGUCCAGCCUGGUCUGGCCAGGCAAGGCGCUCCUCCAUCCAGGCCUCUCCUGGUUCUUCUUAUCCAACAGGAGCUAGCAUAAGUUUACCAGAUUUUUUUCAAAGAAUCCGGGGACACUUUUUUUUUUAAAUAAAGAGAAGUCAGUUGACCGGGUGGCCGGGCGCACUCGUUCCUGGUUUGAUUUGGGUCAUGGUAUGCGUGUGUCAGCAGUUCCCCCUUGGCAGUGGCAGCGGCGGCCUCAGCAGCCCGGAGUCAGCCUGGUAGCGCAGCUGGCUCUGGCUUGCUUCAGGAGCUGCUCGCUGCCGUGGCGCCUGCCAUUUUGCCUCAUCGGAAGUCCCCGUAUGAUGUGUCUUGUGCCGUUGAACCAAUCACGCAACGUUCAUUCCCUACUAAUAAACCUACAACUCUUAAAAUAUAAAUCCGGCGACAUUAAAUCAAAUCCGGGGACAUUCCGGGGAUGGAUUUUGUCUGGGGACAGAUUUGUAAAUCCGGGGACUGUCCCUGAGAAAGGAGGACAUCUGGUCACCAUAAGCUAGGAGGGUGUGUGUGUGUUGGGUCUCUCUCUCUAGAAAGUGAGACCCAUGCCUUUCCUUUCAGGGGGCAUCUUGGGCUCUCCUGUCCCAGGGAUCAUUCUAUCUUUGCUCUAUCUGCUUCACCAAGUUGGCUGAGAGAAGGUUCGUGCUUAGGAUUGCUCAUAAAGGCAGAACGUCCAAGAACCAACCAUUUCCCCAGAAGGGCCAAAAACACCAGAGUGACCACCGAACAAACCGACCGGAUGCAGCUCAGACACGAAGGUGCAUCAUCCAGGCUUUUGAAUUCCCACUGGGUUUGCUUGGGCCAGAAGUUCUGAAAACUUCCAGUGAAAGAAGAGCCGAUUCCACGAAAACCCUUUUCUCUGGAAUUGUCAUCAUUUGUUCUCUCUCUCUCACAGACACACACACACAACCUCCCAGGAGAGAAUCCAGAUGGCAUUGCCAAAUCACAGAACUGUAGAGUUGGAAGGGACCCCAAGGCUCAUCUAGUCUAUCCCUUGUCGUGCUAGAACUGCAGCAAAUUCUUGCCCUUAAUCUUCCAAUAUUCAGUUUCCUUAGUUGUCCAUGAGUUCUAGAGUAACAAGGAAAAAAACACCACAUCUCUCCACUUUCUCCCUGUCAUGUGUGACGUCUAUCCUGUCGCCUCUUCCUGAGAGCAAGACAAAAUUCAGGACGCCAAGUUGGUGAGCAUUCCUGCCUCCAGUGGGAGAGAGUUCCAUAGUCUAACUACACACUGCAUAAAGAAGAGCUUUCUUUUGUGUGUUCUCUCCUCCCUUGUCGCUGGGCUCUGCCCUGGCCUGCCCACUUUCUCCAUCUCCCCACUCGGCUCUGCUUUCCUUCCUUUCCCCUGGAUCAGGGCCUCCCCCAGCACACCAGGCCUGCCGUUUCUCUCCCAGGCCUUUGCUGCCCCGGCCAUCGCCAGAUAAAAGGCCUGCAAGCAUUCCAUGACAUCAAACGCAGCCAAUCCGGGACGCAGCCCCCACAAGUCCCACCCCCAUGUGCUCUUGCUCUGUAGGCCGCUCUCUUCCCAAAGGCUGCUUUGUCCCCACUUUCGGCUGUAGCAAAGCGCACCAGGAGGGUUUCCGCUCCGGAGUCCCAGGACUGGAAGAGAGGAGCCUGGUGCCUUGAGCAGCCGCCUUCCUGCUGUCACAUCAGAUUUGACUGGGAGGUCAAGGAGAAGUUCCUGCUCUGUGGAGGUUUCCUGCCUGAUGCAGCUGUCGUGGUCAAAACUGGGGCUGCCCUGCAUUCAUUUUUAUCGAUUUUCCAACGAAAAACAACCAAUUAAAUAUCCAAUCAUAAUACUUC